AAUGGAGUGACCCUCAAGUCAUGCUGCAAGCGUGUCUGAACCCUAAACGCUUGCCCACUUCCUGUGACUGCUGUGGAGAGAUGUGCAGCGAAAGUUUGAUGGAGCUUCUUCUGCAGAACUUCGCCGGUGCCACCGGGUGCCCCGAACUUCUCUACAAUGGCCUUGGUUUUGCGGAACUGCUCCUCCUUCACCAAGUGCUGCACGCAUUUUAGGUGCUCUUACCCGAUGAUGAUGGACCUUUUUGAAGUGUUUAUUAAUGGAGCUGUAGCAUGACAGCAUGGUGAGUGCUGGGAAGGUCAAGUAGAGCAGCACCAGGGUGAGCAUGAAGGUGACAAAGUCCCUAAAGAAAAUAUACAGUAACAUACUGUUGGUAAACUUUUGUUCUCUGUGUUUUUAUUUUUGUUUUGUCUCCCGCACCGGUCUCCUCUGGUGUAGUCCAGAGUGCAGCAGGUCCUCAUGGGCUCAAAGUCGUACACACCCCAGCCCAUGAGAGGAACAGCCGCCCAGAAGAUCGAGAGGAUCCAGAUAAUAGUGCUCAUUACCAAGGCUGUGCUCCAGAAGAGCUUUUGCCCUUUGAAGAGACGAAGAAGCAGAAAUUUUUAUUAUUUUUCUUUUCCGACAGAAAAAUAGCUGGACUCCAAAUAUGUUUAGAAUUUUUUUCUCAUUUAAUUUUUUUAAAUGAAAUUGCUGUUACUGGUAUUUUAUUCACUGAA
This is a long non-coding RNA of Corythoichthys intestinalis (scribbled pipefish), 713 nucleotides long. RefSeq lists it as uncharacterized. The transcript has 3 exons. The record is from RefSeq and is a predicted model, not a curated record. Lineage: Eukaryota; Metazoa; Chordata; Actinopteri; Syngnathiformes; Syngnathidae.